UGGCUCAUUAAAUCAGUUAUGGUUCAUUGGAUCUUACCUUNNNNNUUGGAUAACUGUGGUAAUUCUAGAGCUAAUACAUGCACGCCAGCUCCGACCUGCGAAGGGAAGAGCGCUUUUAUUAGAUCAAAACCGAUCGGGCCUUCGGGCCCGUCCCACCUGUGGUGACUCUGAAUAACUUUUUGCCGAGCGCACGGCCUCCGUGCCGGCGCCGCAUCCUUCAAGUGUCUGCCUUAUCAGCUUUCGAUGGUAGGUUACGCGCCUACCAUGGCUACGACGGGUAACGGGGAAUCAGGGUUCGAUUCCGGAGAGGGAGCCUGAGAAACGGCUACCACAUCUAAGGAAGGCAGCAGGCACGCAAAUUACCCACUCCCGGCUCGGGGAGGUAGUGACGAAAAAUAACGAUGCGGGACUCAUCCGAGGCCUCGCAAUCGGAAUGAGUACACUUUAAAUCCUUUAACGAGGAUCUAUUGGAGGGCAAGUCUGGUGCCAGCAGCCGCGGUAAUUCCAGCUCCAAUAGCGUAUAUUAAAGUUGCUGCGGUUAAAAAGCUCGUAGUUGGAUCUCAGUGUCGGACCGACGGUCCGCCGCCCGGCGCGACUGUCGGCUUUCCGCACAGCCCGCCGGCUCGGUCGGGGUGCUCUUCGCCGAGUGUCCCGGGCGGCCGGCACGUUUACUU
Molecule: ribosomal RNA, 674 nt
Filed under: Bathynellidae sp. D3.B
Lineage: Eukaryota; Metazoa; Arthropoda; Malacostraca; Bathynellacea; Bathynellidae
Also listed under: 1 other name
Description: SSU rRNA
Rfam family: Eukaryotic small subunit ribosomal RNA
Source: RNAcentral